UUCCGGUUGAUCCCGCCGGACCUGACUGCUAUCGGAUUGAUACUAAGCCAUGCUAGUCUUUGUAGUAAUACAAGGCAUACGGCUCAGUAACGCGUAGUCAACCUACCCUAUGGACGGGGAUAAUCUCGGGAAACUGAGCAUAAUACCCGGUAGACCACUUCUCCUGGAAUGGUUAGUGGUUAAAAUGAUUCGUCGCCAUAGGAUGGGACUGCGGCCUAUCAGCUUGUUGGUGAGGUAAUGGCCCACCAAGGCGAUUACAGGUACGGGCUCUGAGAGGAGAAGCCCGGAGAUGGGUACUGAGACAAGGACCCAGGCCCUAUGGGGCGCAGCAGGCGAGAAAACUUUGCAAUGUGCGAAAGCACGACAAGGUUAAUCCGAGUGAUUUCUGCUAAAGGAAUCUUUUGUUAGUUCUAAAUCUACUAGUGAAUAAGGGGUGGGCAAGUUCUGGUGUCAGCCGCCGCGGUAAAACCAGCACCUCAAGUGGUCAGGAGGAUUAUUGGGCCUAAAGCAUCCGUAGCCUGUUCUAUAAGUUUGCGGUUAAAUCUAUACGCUCAACGUAUAGGCUGCCGUAAAUACUGUAGAACUAGGGAGUGGGAGAGGUAGACGGUACUCGGUAGGAAGGGGUAAAAUCCUUUGAUCUAUCGAUGACCACCUGUGGCGAAGGCGGUCUACCAGAACACGUUCGACGGUGAGGGAUGAAAGCUGGGGGAGCAAACCGGAUUAGAUACCCGGGUAGUCCCAGCUGUAAACGAUGCAGACUCGAUGAUGCAAUGGCAUAGAGCUAUUGCAGUAUCGCAGGGAAGCCGUUAAGUCUGCCGCCUGGGAAGUACGUACGCAAGUAUGAAACUUAAAGGAAUUGGCGGGGGAGCACCACAAGGGGUGAAGCCUGCGGUUCAAUUGGAGUCAACGCCGG
Molecule: ribosomal RNA, 913 nt
Filed under: uncultured marine archaeon
Lineage: Archaea
Description: bacterial SSU rRNA
Rfam family: Archaeal small subunit ribosomal RNA
Source: RNAcentral